UCUAUAUUAUUUGAUAAUACACUCCUUUCUGUAGUUCAGAAAAAUUCAUAUACUACAUUCGCUCUCGCGAGAUUUUUUUUUGACACAUUCGGAAUAGGAAACAUACAACACAAAAAUUCCUACCUCACACUAUUAACUGCUAAAAUCAACUCAAAUCAACUUAAUCUUUCAUUAAAAAAAGAAGAAUUAUUAGAAAUAGUGGGAGUGUCUACUAAUCUCAUAAAAUUUUGUGAAGUUUAUUUCUACAAAAUAUUUUUAUUUUGUACAAUAAAUAAUUUUCUCAUUUGCUAUCAAUACAUUAUAAUGGUUUAAAUAAAUAAUUAUUGAUUGGCGUAAGGUUUAUGUUAUUUUUAUGUCUGUUUACUAUUAAUAAUAUUGGAUAUGAGCAGGUGCGUUGGUUUUGUAGUAAUUUCCAGUCACUUCUGACAACUGAACUUUUCAAAAAAGAAAUUACUAACGUCAGUGUCAAAAAAAAUCUCUCGAGAGCGAAUGUAGUAUACCUAAGCUACCCCAUAGCCCUUUCGUGACCAGCUGACACAAUCGUGAGCUCAUGUUUAUGUGGGUAUCAAUAUGAAAAUAAACAUAUUUUUACUAGGAAAGAUGAUAUCAAUAUGUUGUGUCUAUCGUGUAUUAUCAGAGUAACUGAAAUUAUUUAACUAAUUCACGCUUAGUUUGCAAUAGAAUACCCUAUAAAGAAGGCUGUGUAUUUUGACGACAAAACUGAUAAAGGUGUGCCUCUCACCCACGAUUUGGCUCUAGAGGUGUUAAAUGAGGGUAACUAGUCCGAAAUAGAAGAUUUAGAUGGCGAAAAUGAUGUUGCUUUUGAUGUUCAGAUGUUUAAAAAUAACACCGAUGACAAGGAUAUUGAAGAAACUGUAUUAGAUGAAGAACCUGUAUUGGAUGAAGAACCUGUUCCUUCAACGAGCUCUUCUUCAGCAAAGAGGCAAUGGAAAGACAUGAAAUUUCAGCAAAAAAUGUUUGUUCUAUUUUAGUUAGUAUGUAAUAGCAUAUUAAACAAUUAUAAAAAUAACUUUUAUUUGGCCCUAA
Diabrotica virgifera virgifera (western corn rootworm) is the source of this 1047-nucleotide long non-coding RNA. RefSeq lists it as uncharacterized. NCBI's taxonomy places the organism in Eukaryota, Metazoa, Arthropoda, Insecta, Coleoptera, Chrysomelidae. The record is from RefSeq and is a predicted model, not a curated record. The transcript is spliced from 2 exons.